Molecule: ribosomal RNA, 253 nt
Filed under: uncultured bacterium
Lineage: Bacteria
Description: partial 16S ribosomal RNA
Rfam family: Bacterial small subunit ribosomal RNA
Source: RNAcentral
GACAGAGGGUGCAAACGUUGUUCGGAAUUAUUGGGUUUAAAGGGUGCGUAGGCGGUCCUGUAAGUCAGUUGUGAAAUACGGCAGCUUAACUGUCGAGGUGCAAUUGAUACUGCGGGACUAGAGUACUGAUGAGGUAAGCGGAAUGGACGGUGUAGCGGUGAAAUGCUUAGAUAUCGUCCAGAACACCGAUAGCGAAGGCAGCUUACUAAGGAGUAACUGACGCUGAGGCACGAAAGUGUGGGGAUCAAACAGG